This is a non-coding RNA of Tetranychus urticae (two-spotted spider mite), 2592 nucleotides long. NCBI's taxonomy places the organism in Eukaryota, Metazoa, Arthropoda, Arachnida, Trombidiformes, Tetranychidae. The record is from RefSeq and is a predicted model, not a curated record.
AACAAGGAUGAUAAUCAAGAUUAAGAUGAACCCGAAUAUUUAUCAGUGAGAAACAAGUGCGAUCCGUUAUAAUUGAUCGUUAAUAUCUGUUACUAAAAUGGACUAUUAUGCCACUUAAAGUUGAUACAACCAAUUAUCUUUUACUUGUUCUUCAUCAACUUUUCCUCAUCAUCAUCUUCUUACAACUUUCUUCUCAGUGUCUUGUCUCUUUACCUCAUAUUCACAUAUCUUCACCUAAGGCAUUUUCAUCUCCUUUUGGCGUUAACUUACCUAUUACAUUUUUGUGCCCAAUGUUGAUCAACAAUUCAUGCUUCCAUUAGUUGAGCAAAGUCAAAAAUAAGAUGAACAAGAAGAGCGUUGAUUAAGUGUCUGAGUGUUUUUUCUUGAUGCUUUAACCUGAAAAAUCUAUUCUAAGAUAUGUUUUCCAAUAUUAACGCCCAGUGACCUUUUUCUUGGCCAGUUUAAGCUCAUGCUACUUGUCAAAUUAAUCAAGUAAAAGGAUUAGUAAAUGUUAUUGACAGAAGAUAAAGGAAAAAAGAUUCAUUGAAACAGUUUUAUGCCAAGGAAGAUCGGAUAGGAAGAACGAAGAAGCCAUUCUUACUGUUUACAGUUAUUGGUAGACCAUUUUGCAUCCCUAAACGACUUUAAUUACCGCUAAUAGAGACAAAAUCAUUAACACAUCGUUAUUUGUUAUGUUAAUGUGUCUAUCUAGCAUAGAGUUUAAAUCAAAGGUCGACAAUUUAUAUCAAUUCCUGGUUAAUUUGCUGCUAUUAAUCAUCAUUUUUAUUGAAUCUCUGCUGAAUCAACAAUGGAAAACUAUUUCUUCUCAUAAAAAAACCUGUUUGCUUUUACAACACAUAACUGGACGGUGAUUAUGUUGUGGACAUUCAAUUUAGAUGGAAUUGGUUUGAGCAAAGUUUCAAUCGUCAUAUUUGCAAUUAAUCUCAAUGGAAUUGUUAUUUAUGAUUGGAAAUAUAUUUCUCUUUUCGAUGGACUCAAUGAUAGAUUGUAAAGCCAACUGCGUGAAGGAACAAUUUUUAAUCAUUUCAAGUAACAAGAAAAACUAGCAACAUGGCAAGGUGUGUUUUUGGCUAAUAAUCUACAGACAAGAAGAACAAGUUACCUCUGGUCAAGCGAUGUUAUAGUUCAAGAUAUUAUUAACACACAAAAUCGAUACAAGUCACGGAGAAGGAAAGGUCACUUGCAAAGGUGAAAGGCUAAGAUGAAGAUGAGGAUGAAUAAGUUUGGAAUCUUUAAUUUGUAAACAAUUACUAUUACCAUUGGACUAAUCACGAAUUUUUUAGCAACAAUUAGUAGUCAGGUUAACAGAAUUUCAACUCUGCAAGAAUCCAACUAAUUCCGUUAAUCAAGACACUUUCAUCAAGCAAACAAGACCAGACUAAUUAAAUGGCAUUUUGUUACCCAAGAAACCGGACUGACUUAAUUAGCUUUGUCCCAAUCUGAUUAGGAGUGAAAAUGAUCAACACAAUGGCAACAUUUUUAUGCUGUUAGACAAGUAAUUGUUUUGGAUCUGCUUUUUUCUCCAGUUGGACAGCAAGAAACAAUCUGAUGAAACAAAAUUACUCAGGAUUACAGGAUGAUGAAUUAGUGGCUGAUAAGUGAUAAAAAAUACAAAUGAAAGCUUGGAUGUGAAAUUCUUGGAGACUUUCAUUGCUAUCAUAUAAUAUAUUAAUUAGCAUGUUGAUUGUUCUGAUUCACUUUUUGACCUAGAAUGGUUUCCUUUCAUCCUCUGUUACAAUCAAAUGUCUACUAUUUUUAUGGUUGGAACAAAAUUUUUAUGGAUUAAUGGACUUGAUGCGCUUUUUAGUUGCCUCUUGACCAUUGUCCAUUCAUUUACUUCUGAAUAUUUCAAUCUCUCUCUCUCUCUCACCCUCAGGCAAUUUGUUUUUUUUUGUUGUCUUUGUAUCAUUAUAAAGCAUUAUAUUAGGAAUAUUAUUGUACACUUUUGACUUUUCUUGUAAUUUGUGCAUUAAUGUGAUUAUCUUACCUUCUUGAAGUCUUGCCUUUCAUUGAGAAUCAACUGUUGACCCGAUUUUUAUCAACAUGAUUCCUGUGUUUGUCCAAAGGCAGUGGAAUAAAAAAGGUCAACUCGAUUCGGUAGAUUAACAUCAACAUGAUUAAGAUUAACUUUACAAUGUAAUAAAAGUAAAUAAUAGUAUAAAUAAAACGAAAUGAAAAAAUUAUCAAAGGCUGACCAUUACUUUUGUUUGAUAAAUGUCAAUGUGUUACUCUUUUUGUCAAAGGGAGAGACAAAAAAAACAACAAAUAAAAGAUAUAAAAGGUAAAAAUAAAAAAGUUAAUCAAACUUAGUUUGUUAACUAAAUAAAUUCAAUUGUCAAUUGAUAUCUUAGUUACUAUUAAGUAAAGAGUGAAGCUAAUUUCCGUUCGCUCCUGUAAGGCUUAAUGAUCAGUAUGAAAUUGCUGCCUUGAACAAGACUGAUCAAGAAGAUGAUGAUGAUUGGAUUUGUGUGUGUAUUACAGAUUAUAGUUGACAAACGGAUAGCGGAGUGAGAAAAACUGACCUCGGAAAGAAAGAUGAGGUGAAAAUCAUUUUGUUCCGGUUUAAAAGAU